CAGGCCCCGUCAUUAUGUAAAGCGUGCGCGCCUGGGAGGGGCUGUGCCUUUUGGAGGUUUCUGUAUGGGAGUAACUGGGCAGGCAGGCGGGAGGUUUGGGGAGAGGGGGGGGGAAGGCAAGAGACGUUGCAGCUGUCGAAGGGGAGAGGCGAGAGAGUUGGGAAACUCGAGGAAAGAGGCCAGGGCUACCCCUUCCUCCUCCUCCUCCUCCUCCUCCUUGUCUCUCUGAAAAGCCAUCCCUUCUGAAGUCUGGUAUUCCUUGGGAGAGCCUGGAAACCCAGAGAGAAGAGAGAGAGAGAGAGAGCAAAGUUGAGAUGAGCUGAUUUACCAACUCCUAAAGAAAUAAACCCUUGCGCCUCUGAACAUCCAGGGGAAACAAAUGCAACACAAAUGCGACAGAAAGUUUCCUGCUUAGAAAGAUGAUAUGGAUAUGAAUUUUCUUCUCCGCCAGGUAUUUUUCCUGACACCCGGAUUGUGACCAAAGGCACUAACUGAUCGGAUCUCUUGGGAUCCUGAAGCUAAAAGAAGAAAGAAGCUAAAUCCAGAGGUUGAAUAGGAACUGCACAAAAGCCACUUUACUUGGUGGCAGAAAAUCUUCAAUCCCUUCCUUACUUUGAAUUAUUAUUAAAGACUUUUACAGAUCCGAUCGGAAAAAGGAUUGAUGACUUGGGCAGCUGUUAUCAAAAAAGUACUGGAGAAAUAUGGGCCAAAGGACUGUGACAUAAAAAAAAAUUGUGCAGAACUGAUCCUUCUAUAAAUAUGCAUCCAUUUCCCAAAGCUCGAGAGGGACGAAAUCGUCACCCGGGACGUGAGACGACUUUGGACGACAAGAUGCUUCCUGAUUCGGGACAACCGGGCGACCCCUUGCACCGAAAAGAUGUGCAUCCCCGCUCCUUCCUUUCCACGAACGUCAUUACAAUAGGUAAAUCGAUUCUAUAUUACGCCCAUAUUAUUCUGUUUGUUUUUAAUCCGGGUGAAGAAAACCCGAGGAAGCAUUUCUGGCAUAAAUCAAUUUGUUUUUGUUUUUUUAAUCCUCUCCUAUUGGGGGCAGCCGAGGGAGUGGUGCGGUGGCCUAAGAGGCGGAGCUCUCGCCUC
This is a non-coding RNA of Thamnophis sirtalis, 1095 nucleotides long. The record is from RefSeq and is a predicted model, not a curated record. NCBI's taxonomy places the organism in Eukaryota, Metazoa, Chordata, Lepidosauria, Squamata, Natricidae.